UGCUAAUUGCCAAGUAGAGAAGCAGAAGAUAAGCUCCUAUCGUACUCCCAAAUACAAAGAGAAGGCCUCCAAUGCCUUUAAGAGACAGAAAAGCAGCAACUAAAUGGGAAACAUCGAUAACAGGUAGGUCGAAUCCAAAUCUAGCAGAGACGUUGCUCCUAAAAGUGUUCAACUUUGGAAGCAAUUCCUUUGCAGCAGGUCCACCAUCAGUGCCAAAUUCAUUGAACAUUUGCCAGGCGGAGAGGAUGAAAAGGGAGGCAAAGAGGACCCGUCCAAGGAAAGAGAAGAACCCCAU
This 295-nucleotide unclassified non-coding RNA is filed under the name Hevea brasiliensis (rubber tree). The record is from RNAcentral. Lineage: Eukaryota; Viridiplantae; Streptophyta; Magnoliopsida; Malpighiales; Euphorbiaceae.